This 300-nucleotide ribosomal RNA is filed under the name Triticum aestivum (bread wheat). Its description in RNAcentral is "partial small subunit ribosomal RNA". The record is from RNAcentral. Lineage: Eukaryota; Viridiplantae; Streptophyta; Magnoliopsida; Poales; Poaceae.
UUCAGUUUUGGGCUUGCAUAUUUCAGUUUGUCAUCUAGUUCUGCCCAUGUAAGAGUUGUUUCUAGCUGGUUAUAUUUUCGUGAAGAUUUUCAUGGCAGAGGGCAGGCCUGGCGCAGUGGUGAAGUCCUCCCCACUUGUGCCAAGAGGUCCUGGGUUCGAACCAGCCUCUCUGCAUUGCACUUUGCAGGGGUAAGACUAGGUUCCUAUAAUCCCUCCCCAGACCCCACCUUGUGUGGGAGCUUCUAUGCACUGGGUCUGUCCUUUAAGAUUUUCAUGGCAGAUCAAGUAAAUAAGCUGUGA